GUUGAGCAGCCACUAUUUAUUCUUCCUAAGAAACGUAACGGGAAGAAGCAAAACUCAAUCGCUGGUCAUGUCGAUCACAUAAUAACUGUUCAGGGUGUCGCUGACGCAACUGAAGUACCCACAAAAUAUAAAAAUGGUUUAUCACCUGUUUCCGAACAUGUUGCUA
Colias croceus (clouded yellow) is the source of this 166-nucleotide long non-coding RNA. RefSeq lists it as uncharacterized. The transcript has 2 exons. NCBI's taxonomy places the organism in Eukaryota, Metazoa, Arthropoda, Insecta, Lepidoptera, Pieridae. The record is from RefSeq and is a predicted model, not a curated record.